Molecule: RNA transcript, 3469 nt
Organism: Ipomoea triloba (trilobed morning glory)
Lineage: Eukaryota; Viridiplantae; Streptophyta; Magnoliopsida; Solanales; Convolvulaceae
Gene name: putative disease resistance protein At1g59780
Exons: 3
Source: RefSeq, a predicted model, not a curated record
UCUAAGCAUUCAUUUCUUCCUCUUGCAGAGAGAGAAGCAAAAUGGCUUACGCUGCUGUAACUUCGCUUAUGGAAACACUUUCUCUACAUUUCUUGCAAUCACAACCACGCUUCCCUCUUGAAGAUUUAGAGGCACAGAUCAGACUUGGCAAUGAAAAUGUUGGCUUGCUGCAACAAAUUCUUGAGGCUCAGAUCACAGAGAAAGAAGAGUCAUCAAAGCGUCUUCGUAUAAAGGCUUGCUUCCCCAGGGAUUAUGGAAAGCAGCAGCUUGCUUGGGAUACUACACUGUUGAAUUCUCAGCUCAAGGAGGUGGGUGAAGUGAAACAAAAGAUAGUUUCUCUCCAUCAAAAUCUGGGCUUGCUGCAACAAAGUCUUGACAAAUCUGAGAUCCCCUAUGAUGCGAGAGUGAUGAAAGAUUUAGAGGCAAAGAUCAGAGAUGCAUCGUUCAAAUUGGAAGAAAGGAUUGAGAUGGAGUUGAGUGCCAUUUAUCUAGCAAAGGACAGCCUUCGUAUAACAGCUUGCUUGCUCAGGCUUCAUCAAAUCUUCAAUGAAGCACAAAAACAGAUUGGUUACCAGAUCAGGGAUGGUAAUGAAAAUCUUGGCUUGCUGCAACAACUUGUUAAUGCUCAGAUUUUUGAGAUGGGUUUGGACGAAGAAACGUCAUCAUUGAAGAAGGCGUAUCAGCAGCAGCAGCAUCGGCUCAAAGAGAAGAUGGUCUCUUUCAGUCAAAAUCUUGGCUUGCUGCAACACAUUCUUGAGAUUGGCAAUGAUGAUGCGGCGAGGGUAGCCAUGAAAAGUUUAUGGGGAGAGAUGAGAGAUUAUGAAAGGUAUUUCUCCAUCAAAGCCCAAGAAUGGAUUGAGAUGGAGUUGACUACCUUUUAUCUAGCAAAGGAUAGUCUUCUUCAUAUAACAGCUUGCCUGCUCAGGCUUCAUCAAAUUUUCAUAGAAGCACAAAAACAGACUGAUUACCACAAGAAUGAGUUGAUUAGGAUUCAAACUCAUAAAAAAUACCUGCAUGACCUAGUACACUUUUCCAAAAACGCUUCAAAGUUUGACGGUGGAAUGGUCGGAUGUGACAAGUUGUUCAAGAACAUAUUGGAUCAGCUGCUCACGCAACAAACAACUAAGGGGAGACAAGUUGUUUCAAUUGUUGGCAUGGGAGGAAUAGGCAAGACCACUCUAGCACACAAACUUUAUCAACAUCCAUCAAUUACUUCUUAUUUCGACAAGCGAGCAUGGGUUACUGUAUCUCAAGAGUAUAACCUAGAACAAAUGCUCCGAUGUCUUCUUAGUUGUGUUACUGCAACAGCAUCAAGAGAUGGCCAAGACCAAUUGGCUAAACGCCUGCGUAAACACUUGAAGGACCAGAGAUAUUUGAUAGUGAUGGAUGAUAUAUGGAGCACUACUGCUUGGGAUAAUGUGCAAAGAUGCCUUCCAGAUGAUAAUAAUGGAAGUCGUAUACUAUUGACCUCUCGACUCAAAGAGGUAGCAGAAUAUGCUAGCUCAGGUAACUCUCCUCUUAACAUGCCUUUCUUAGAUGCUAAUGAAAGUUGGAAUCUCUACUGCAAAGUCUUUGGUAAAAUUGAAUUCCCUCUGGUGUUUGAGCAAAUUGGUAGAGACAUAGUGAAAAAAUGUAAAGGAUUACCUCUAGCUAUUACUAUAGUAGCUAGUCUUCUCUCCAAGACAAAAGAGGAGGAAAAGUGGAAGAAUGUUGCAAAAAGUGUAAUUGGUGAUUCUAAUGAAGCAUGUUCAAGAAUAUUAUAUUUGAGUUACAACCAAUUGCCACACCACUUAAAAGUUUGUUUUCUAUAUUUUGGAAUUUUUGAAGAAGACUAUGAGAUAUCUGUGAAGAUGUUGGUUAGGUUGUGGGCGGCAGAAGGAUUUUUGAGCACGGUGAGGCAUGUGGAUUUGGAAAAAGUGGCUAUGAAAUGCUUGGAAGAUCUUGUUGAUAGAAAUCUUGUUAUAGUUAGCAAACAUAGCUACAAUGGGGAAAUGAAGAAAAUAAGGAUUCAUGAUCUGUUGCGAGAUUUGUGCUUGAGAGAAGCUAAACUUGAAAAUCUCUUGAAUGUCAAUGAAAUUCAAAAACCUUGUCGUUGGAUAAGUCACACAUCAGCAACAUUUUUAUAUGAUGAAAUAUUCAGGUUUGAAGAUGAGUACUUUCACAAAUCUCAUUCCUUUCACUUAACUCAUAAUAUUCACUAUUUUUGGUAUGUAAGGGUGCAACGUCAAUUUUCACACUGCUUGAAACUACUAAGAGUAGUGGACAUGAGAGAUAGAUUUUGGAAAGGAGAUAUACAUCUAUAUGUGUUUGAAAAACUUGUUCAUUUGAGAUACUUAGCUUUGUAUACAAAUGGGCGUUGUGAUUUAAACCUCUUUAAGUAUUGGAAUAAUAUGCAAACUUUUAUUGUUAGUGGGGAUCAUGCUAUAUUGUAUUCCUCUGAUGAGCCAUCUAGAAUUUGGAAAAUGCCAAUAUUAAGGAAUUUUUGCAUUGGAAGAAUUUGUUCAUUAGAAACUCCGUCGGUUGUUCAUAAAAACUUGGAGACUAUAUCUUGGUUGGAUUCUAUGUUAUGUACAAAGGAUCUGUUUACAAUGAUUCCGAAUUUUAAAAUAUUGGGGGUUGAUUGUGGUGGACACUAUGGUAUUGGUCCAGAUUGUUUUUAUAAAUUUUGUGUACUUGGAACAGCUUGAGAAACUAAGAAUCAAAAGGUGCAGGGAUCUCAACCUUGUUAUGUGUAACAUCUCAUGGGCAACUAGUUUACCAAAUCUUAAGAAGCUCAGCUUCUUGAAGUGUUGUCUGCAGUGGAGUGAGCUAAGCGGUAUUAGUAUGUUGCCUAAUUUGGAGGUUCUAAAAUUGAUAGAUGCUUGUGAAGGCCUAGAGUGAGAGACAUGUGAUGGAGGGUUCAAUCGAUUGAAGAGGUUGGUAAUUAAAAGUAAAACUCUCGAAAAUUGGAAUAUUGGGGGUGACCAUUUCCCUAUGCUUGAAUGCUUGGAAAUAAUUGACUGUUCUAGGUUGAAAGAAAUCCCUCGUGGUUUUGCCGAUAUCACCACACUAGUAUUGAUUCAGAUAAGCAAAUGUCGGUAUUCCCUUGUGGCUUCUGCAAAGUGAAUUCAAGAAGAGCAAAGCAACAACUAUGGAAAUGAUGCCCUCCUUGUUCGUUCCGAGAAUAUUAGGACUUGAAAAUUAUGGUAAGUGGUUUGAGGAGGAAGAAAGAGAUGAAUGAAUAGCAGUAUGUAGAUAGGAAGGCCCGGAGGAAUUGUUGGAAGAAAUGACAAAUUUUAAAUGUGCAUAGCGGUGAGCUGAAAUGGUCUCUGAUGGCAAUUCGUUCUCAGAAAUCUGUAUUGUUCGUUUCUUAAGUUUGUUUGUUUGUAGAGAUUUUGGUGGUGGGGAAUUAGUUUGUAGAUAUGAUGGUUGCAAUAUAUAUAGCUGCACUGCAAUGCAAUGAAUAAUCAAUCAAUUUAUUUUUCUCUCA